This 1200-nucleotide ribosomal RNA is filed under the name Penicillium expansum. Its description in RNAcentral is "small subunit ribosomal RNA". The record is from RNAcentral. Lineage: Eukaryota; Fungi; Ascomycota; Eurotiomycetes; Eurotiales; Aspergillaceae.
AUGUUAAAUAUUAUAAAAUCAAAAUUAAAUACUACAUAUAAAAAAAAAGGAUUAAAUGAUUCUAGUAUAGCUAUUUAUAAUAGAGAUGUAAUACCUGCUGUAAGGAAUUGAAAAAGUAGUAUAUAUGCUUAUAAUAAAAAUGCUAUUAAUUUAAUUCCUAUUAAAAGCAAAUAUGUAAUGAAAUUAAUUAAAGCAUACUUUAAUUUAUAUCAUUUACAACUAGAAUCUUUAUUAAGAAAAAAUAGAUUACGUCGUAGAUUUAGAAAAAUAUCAACUAAUAGAAUAUUUAUUAGUGAUGGUGAAUUUAAACAUACUAAUGAUAAAGUAAAUAUAACAUUAUAUGUUUAUAAUAAACAAAAACUUAAUUACUUAUUAAGACUUAAAAAAAGAUAUUUAACUUUAUUUAAAAAAGCUAAAUUUGCUAGAAAAUUAAAAUUAAUAAAAAAUAGAGGAUUAACUAUUUUGUUUAAACAUAAACAAAAAAGUAUAUUAUUAAGUAAUCUUUUACCUAAAUAUAAUACUCAAGUAAAUACAGCACAAAAUAUUUACUAUACAAGAUUUAUUAAAAAAAGUUUUAGAAGAUUAAAAUUCUAUAUGUAUUAUAAACAAAUGCUUUAUAUUAAUAAAGCUAAAUUUGAAAAUACUUAUCUACAAGGUUUAAUAAGUUUAGUAAGAAAUAUUUUUAAUAAAAAUGUUGAAUUUAAUAUCAUUAAUUUAAAAUAUUUUUAUUUUAAUAGUAAAAUAUUUACUCAACCUUUAGAAUUAAAAUUAAAAAAAAAAAGAAAUGUUUUAAGAUAUCUUAAAGUUUUAAUAAGAAAAGCAAAAAUUAAAAAUGUUAAAUUAGCAGAAAAAUCUAAAAAAUUUUUUAAUUUUAAUAUUUUUAAUAGUGAUAAUUUUUUACUACAAGAUAAUACUAAAUCUAAGUAUUUAAAAAAAAUUAUUUUAAGUAAUUUAAAAUAUAAAAGAGUAUCUGGUGUUAGAUUAGAAGCUGCUGGUAGAUUAACUAGACGUUUUUCAGCUUCUAGAUCUCAACGUAGAACUAAAUAUAAAGGAAAUUUAGAAAAUGUUUAUUCUUCAUUUAAAGGUUAUCCUACACCAGUAUUAAGAGGAAAUGAUAAAGCUAAUUUACAAUAUACUGUUAUUAACUCAACUUCACGUGUUGGAGCUUUUGGUGUUAAAGGUUGAGUAAGUAGUACUUAA